Molecule: ribosomal RNA, 794 nt
Filed under: uncultured Halobacteriales archaeon
Lineage: Archaea; Methanobacteriati; Methanobacteriota; Halobacteria; Halobacteriales
Description: bacterial SSU rRNA
Rfam family: Archaeal small subunit ribosomal RNA
Source: RNAcentral
ACGGCUCAGUAACACGUGGCCAAACUACCCAACAGACCGUGAUAACCUCGGGAAACUGAGGCUAAUAACGGAUAGUGCUCCCGAGCUGGAAUGCUGGGAGCGCGAAAGCUCCGGCGCUGUUGGAUGUGGCUGCGGCCGAUUAGGUAGACGGUGGGGUAACGGCCCACCGUGCCGAUAAUCGGUACGGGUUGUGAGAGCAAGAGCCCGGAGACGGACUCUGAGACAAGAGUCCGGGCCCUACGGGGCGCAGCAGGCGCGAAACCUUUACACUGUACGCAAGUACGAUAGGGGGACACCGAGUGCGAGGGCAUAGAGCCCUCGCUUUUGUACACCGUAAGGUGGUGCACGAAUAAGGGCUGGGCAAGACCGGUGCCAGCCGCCGCGGUAACACCGGCAGCCCAAGUGAUGGCCGCUAUUAUUGGGCCUAAAGCGUCCGUAGCUGGCCGUUCAGGUCCGUCGGGAAAUCCACUGGCUUAACCAGUGGGCGUCCGGCGGAAACCGUUCGGCUUGGAACAGGGAGACCAGAGGGGUACGUCCGGGGUAGGAGUGAAAUCCCGUAAUCCUGGACGGACCAUCGGUGGCGAAAGCGCCUCUGGAGAACUGAUUCGACAGUGAGGGACGAAAGCUGGGGUCUCGAACCGGAUUAGAUACCCGGGUAGUCCCAGCCGUAAACGAUGCUCGCUAGGUGUGUCGCAGGCUACGAGCCUGCGAUGUGCCGUAGGGAAGCCGAGAAGCGAGCCGCCUGGGAAGUACGUCCGCAAGGAUGAAACUUAAAGGAAUUGGCGGGGGAGCAC